UACGAAGGGAGCUAGCGUUGUUCGGAAUCACUGGGCGUAAAGCGCACGUAGGCGGAUGUGUCAGUCAGGGGUGAAAUCCCGGAGCUCAACUUCGGAACUGCCUUUGAUACUGAGGGGCUUGAGUCCGGGAGAGGUGAGUGGAACUGCGAGUGUAGAGGUGAAAUUCGUAGAUAUUCGCAAGAACACCAGUGGCGAAGGCGGCUCACUGGCCCGGUACUGACGCUGAGGUGCGAAAGCGUGGGGAGCAAACAGG
RNAcentral lists this ribosomal RNA (253 nucleotides) under uncultured bacterium. RNAcentral's name for it is "partial 16S ribosomal RNA". It matches the Rfam family "Bacterial small subunit ribosomal RNA", at positions 524 to 776 of the family's 1533-position model. The record is from RNAcentral.